RNAcentral lists this ribosomal RNA (569 nucleotides) under uncultured low G+C Gram-positive bacterium. RNAcentral describes it as "bacterial SSU rRNA". It matches the Rfam family "Bacterial small subunit ribosomal RNA", at positions 315 to 868 of the family's 1533-position model. The record is from RNAcentral. Lineage: Bacteria; Bacillati; Bacillota.
GGGACUGGAGACACGGCCCGAGGACUCCUUACGGGAGGCCACAUUAGGGAACCCUUCGGCAAUGGACGAAAGUCUGACCGAGCAACCAGCCGCGUGAUGAAGAAGGUUUUCNCGGAUCGUAAAACUCUGUUGUUAGAGAAGACAAGGACGUUAGUAACUGAACGGUCCCCUGACGGUAUCUAACCAGAAAGCCACGGCUAACUACGUGCCAGCAGCCGCGGUAAUACGUAGGUGGCAAGCGUUGUCCGGAUUUAUUGGGCGUAAAGCGAGCGCAGGCGGUUUCUUAAGUCUGAUGUGAAAGCCCCCGGCUCAACCGGGGAGGGUCAUUGGAAACUCGGAGACUUGAGUGCAGAAGAGGAGAGUGGAAUUCCAUGUGUAGCGGUGAAAUGCGUAGAUAUAUGGAGGAACACCAGUGGCGAAGGCGGCUCUCUGGUCUGUAACUGACGCUGAGGCUCGAAAGCGUGGGGAGCAAACAGGAUUAGAUACCCUGGUAGUCCACGCCCCCACCGAUGAGUGCUAAGUGUUGGAGGUUUCCGCCCUUCAGUGCUGCAGCAAACGCAUUAAGCACU